Brassica napus (rape) is the source of this 1988-nucleotide long non-coding RNA. RefSeq lists it as uncharacterized. Lineage: Eukaryota; Viridiplantae; Streptophyta; Magnoliopsida; Brassicales; Brassicaceae. The transcript is spliced from 3 exons. The record is from RefSeq and is a predicted model, not a curated record.
GUGUGUGUGUGUUUUUUCUACUUACGCCGAUAAUCUUAUAUAAUAAAGUUGAGUUUUUUUCUCCUUGGGAAAAAAGGGAAAAAAUGACACCUGGCAUCUCUGGUUUUGGUUUGGGCCAUGCGGUUUUCUUUUAAUUGUUUCCGUUGGGCUUUUGACAUUCGAGGCCCAGUGAUAAGCAUAUCUUUCAUCGUCACUUUGCUUUAGAGGAAGACCUACGAACUCCAGAAUCUUUAAACAGGGAACGCCUUUACGAUUUCUUUUCCGUAACGGCUCAUUGAUUCCCAAUUUGUUCACAGCUUCUGCGUAAUUAACUCACUCCUCCACUCUUCAGCAUUCAAUCAACCUAAUCAGAUCCCCAAAGUUUGAAUGAGAAAGGAAACACAGACAGUUUUGUGAGAUGGCAUCCAAGUUGCUGCAGAUUAAGUCAAAGGCCUGAGAAGGAUCAAAGUUUGUGUCGAAGCACGGCACUAUUUACUACAAACAGUUUCUGGAGAGGAACAUGCCAAGAGUUGUCUAAGCAGCUUCCCUACACUCGUCUUGCUAGGUCCUUUUUCUUAACUCUCUUAUCUGAUUCUAUGUGUUUGUUAGAUGUUUGAUUGCGUCGCGUACGUAAGCAUUUUUUUAAUAGCUUUCUUCUUGCAGUAAGGAUUAAAGCUUUUUUGUUUCUGUAUGUUGUUUUUAGUAAACGGUAAAUGUGGUCUCCUUAUCUAUGUAGAAAUGUGUUUUUGACGUGGCGUUUAGGAACCUGUGAGGUUGGCAAAUAAAUCUCCAAAGAUCACAGAGAGUAGAGUUAGCAUCAGUUCAGACAUCAGCUUAGACAUGUGCUCAAGUUUUAUGUUUCCUCAAAUCAUCAAUUCUUCACCAUUUCCAGGAUAUUUGACCGGAACCAGCGUCCACCAAUGCUAAACUUUGCUAAUUAAAGAUGGGGUGAUAACAACGCACAAGAUGACAUGCCUGGAGCAGGAGAAGUGACUACUAAGCCUCACAAAACUGUGAACAAAGUUCCCCCUGCAACAACCGCUGGCUUCGCUGCUUGUGGAGAUACAAAGGGAAAUGCAACUGUUGUUUGUGGAGUAACUAAUGAAGAAUCAAAGUUGCAGGGGGGAUAGAGGAAAAAGCCACGUACUUCUUAGCUUUCUAGCUAGCGAGUGGCCAAGUCUAUAGGAUUUUAUCUUCUUUAACGAUUGAAAUAAUUGUUUAAGGUUUCAUUUUUUCCUUGAAUCUGUUCGUUGCUGGUUUUUUACAUUUUGUCGUGGCUUGCUCACUACAUUUCCUGUUGGGUCAAUUCAUUUGAAAGUAAACUCAGAAUUUGAUAGUUGUCUACUUGUCUGCAUGUAUUUUUAAUUUGUUAUAUACGAACUCAACCUCACCUGCAACCAGGUUGACAACAGGUGGAUACAGUUAACCAUCGAGAGUCCAACAAUAUUUCUAAUACUUAUAAUCGAAGAAACCAAAUAAACUUUAUAUUUAAUUUACAUUAAUUGAUUAACUAAGUUCCCGUUUUAGACCUAUAAUGAAAUACUUGCUAUUAUAUAGUACAGACAUGUAGGACAUAAAUAAGAAAAUGGUCUCUAUUCAUUUUAUGACUAAACCAAAAAAACAAGCUCGAAAAAGUUAAAAAUUACUAUCCCUUGAAUCCGAAUACAACAACAUAAAGCAAUGUCAAGUCCAUGGCCGGCUUCAACAUUUGAUAGACCUCGGGGCAAAAAAAAAAAUUAAAAGGCCCUCGAACAUAUAAAAACAUGAAACUUACAAAAUUAUUACUACGAUUAGAUACUAAAUAGGAAUGUUUACCACAAGCAAACACAUAUAAUAAUUUGCAACUUCUGUGUAUUAAUGUAACCAACGGAUUUUUAUUAUCUAUAUAGUAGGUUCAUGAUUUUAAUUUUCAUUUUCAUUUUCUUUGAUCACAAAUUUAUUCAUAGAAUUUUUAUGUGAUUUUAUAAACAAUUCUGCUUAUUUUUCUUCUUGAUGUUUUGAUAAGUAAU